This 485-nucleotide ribosomal RNA is filed under the name Gilliamella apicola. RNAcentral's name for it is "bacterial LSU rRNA". It matches the Rfam family "Bacterial large subunit ribosomal RNA", at positions 2461 to 2925 of the family's 2925-position model. RNAcentral also lists the same sequence under 1 other name. Lineage: Bacteria; Pseudomonadati; Pseudomonadota; Gammaproteobacteria; Orbales; Orbaceae. The record is from RNAcentral.
AGGUACUCCGGGGAUAACAGGCUGAUACCGCCCAAGAGUUCAUAUCGACGGCGGUGUUUGGCACCUCGAUGUCGGCUCAUCACAUCCUGGGGCUGAAGUAGGUCCCAAGGGUACGGCUGUUCGCCGUUUAAAGUGGUACGCGAGCUGGGUUUAGAACGUCGUGAGACAGUUCGGUCCCUAUCUGCCAUGGGCGUAGGAAAAUUGAGAGGGUUUGCUUCUAGUACGAGAGGACCGAAGUGAACGCACCGCUGGUGUUCGGGUUGUGAUGCCAAUUGCAUUGCCCGGUAGCUACGUGCGGAAUAGAUAAGUGCUGAAAGCAUCUAAGCACGAAACUAGCCUUAAGAUGAGUUUUCCCUGAAGAGAUUCAGUAAGGUUCGUUUGAGACUAAGACGUAGAUAGGUCAGGUGUGUAAGUGUAGUGAUACAUUGAGCUAACUGAUACUAAUGAACCGAGAGUCUUAACCUUACAACUCGGAGUUGUUUUGU